AGAAGUUCAUCAAAGUGCCUAAAACGAAAUUGGAGUACUAGAGUUCUGCAAAUCUGCAGGGAGUUCGCAAUGACCAGGCCCGAGCGUACCAAAAACAAAGGUCUCCGCAAAGUUGUAAGACCAUGUAUGGGGGUUGAUGCUUGCCCAGUGCCGGAAGGUCAAGGAAGUUGGUGACUUGAUGAUAGGGGAGCCGAUGAUCGAAGCCCCGAUGAACAGCGACCGUAACUAUAACGGUCCUAAGGUAGUGAAAUUCCUUAUCGGGUAAGUUCUGACCCGCACAAAAGGCGUAACGAUCUGGGCACUAUCU
Molecule: non-coding RNA, 307 nt
Filed under: Vigna radiata var. radiata (mung bean)
Lineage: Eukaryota; Viridiplantae; Streptophyta; Magnoliopsida; Fabales; Fabaceae
Description: Bacterial large subunit ribosomal RNA
Rfam family: Bacterial large subunit ribosomal RNA
Source: Rfam by way of RNAcentral